Molecule: transfer RNA, 75 nt
Filed under: Cordylochernes scorpioides
Lineage: Eukaryota; Metazoa; Arthropoda; Arachnida; Pseudoscorpiones; Chernetidae
Description: tRNA-Gly
Source: RNAcentral
CCAUUUGCUUUUGGUUCAGUGGUAGAAUGCUGGCCUGCCAGGCGGGCGGCCCGAGUUUGAUUCCCGGCCGAUGGA